RNAcentral lists this long non-coding RNA (935 nucleotides) under Volvox carteri. RNAcentral's name for it is "long non-coding RNA (VCAR_LNC002708)". The record is from RNAcentral. Lineage: Eukaryota; Viridiplantae; Chlorophyta; Chlorophyceae; Chlamydomonadales; Volvocaceae.
UGCGCAGGCUGUAUGCGCAGGCUGUAUGUUCAGGCUGUAUGUUCAAGCUGCUGGCAUGCAUGGCCAUCCCUUUCCUUCGUUCAUUUCCACGAAGUUUCCUCCAACUUCCCCUUUUUAUCCCCCCAUUCCCUUAUUAAGCGAAUCAUAACUAACGCCCGCUCAGUGAAUGGAACGUUGUGGUUUGACACCUUGCAAGGUAUUGUGGUAAUUGGGUUGGGAGAGGUUCUCCAUACUACUAAUGUUUCCGUACUUUCCGUAUUCUCCUUUCCUCUCUGUUUCGGGUCGGGCCCUACCUCCCUGUUUGUUGUUGCCUCGCUUCCGUCUGGUUGGUUGCCGGCUGCCUUUGGUUUUGCAUAGAUGCAUUAUCGGUCUGAUGAGCACGGGAAAGUAAAUGCUGGUUGUGUGGUGUCGUUUCUCUAGGUUUCAUUGCUCGUUGUGAUCCUAUUUGAAACCUGUAUUUCGGGGCACCCUCAUCCAGUCACCCUAGCCGACUUCUCAGCGGACGCUCAGGUUCAGCACCCACCACCAGCAUCCACCGGAAUCUGCCGGAUCAACGGCGGCUCAACUCCAUUCCUGGUCAGGAUAUGUACGCAUGUACACAUCUACGCAUCUACGCAUGUACACAUGUACGACGCGUGAGGCUGCGGCAGGUGCCGAGAUCCCUGGGGCGGUGCGUGUGCUUGUUGCAACAAUUGGCAUGGCAUGUACUGUAGGAGAAGGUAUGGGGUAGUGUUUGGAGUGCUGCAUUCCAUGCAUGGGCAGGAAUGGCUACUGGUGACGGACAUGGGCGGUGACGAUAGUGCUUGUUGCCUACUGUACACACUAUUUGUAAAAUGGCAUGGAUCUCUCUGCUGAUUGUAAAAAAAUGAUUAUCGAAUAUUCCGGCCGGCUAAAGACAGACAUGAUCGUUUAAAGACGGCAAGCUAUAAACGAUU